CAGAAAGUAGUUUAUUUGUUUGAAAACAUCAGCUUUGGGAGCUGGAGAGGGGGGUUAAAGUCCCCUUUUUCUGAGA
RNAcentral lists this transfer RNA (76 nucleotides) under Tetraogallus tibetanus (Tibetan snowcock). RNAcentral describes it as "tRNA-Pro". It matches the Rfam family "tRNA". Rfam says of the family: Transfer RNA (tRNA) molecules are approximately 80 nucleotides in length. Their secondary structure includes four short double-helical elements and three loops (D, anti-codon, and T loops). Lineage: Eukaryota; Metazoa; Chordata; Aves; Galliformes; Phasianidae. The record is from RNAcentral.